RNAcentral lists this long non-coding RNA (289 nucleotides) under Elaeis guineensis (African oil palm). RNAcentral describes it as "long non-coding RNA (EGUI_LNC031207)". Lineage: Eukaryota; Viridiplantae; Streptophyta; Magnoliopsida; Arecales; Arecaceae. The record is from RNAcentral.
AAAGCAUGCUCGGCAGCUGGACAUGGACGAUAGCGGAAGGUCUCAUUCGGGAAGGUGGAGGUCGUGGGGUCACCUAAGCCCCAACCUGUCCAUAUAGAGCUCCAUCCAGGGUUGCACUAGAGUGCCCUACCUUAAAACCCAGUUCAGGAGCUGGUUUAGGGCUCAAAUUCAAAUCCCCUCUAAUGGUUGGCCCGGCACUUGAGAACGGCAGCAUUAGGACAUCAUCUUAUGUUCAGCUCAGCAUUAAAUGAGAAUGAAGAAUGGUCAUUUCAUCAUUAAGGAAUGAGGA